CUGGAGGCCAGGCAGCAACAUUGCCUGGCCAGAGGGCUGCUGAGAACAACCCGGAGAGGAUAAUUGUUACCAUAUGCCCUACAGGAAGACUUGUGUUGUUUCCAGAAUGAACAGAGCAACGUUCCCAACUUUAGCCCAGCUUGACAGCAUGGUGUGUAAGCGGAAGAAUGGAAUCAGGACCUGUAUUCCAGCCACUGAAGCAAUGGGAUAUCCCACAACAAUGUCAGCAAGAGCUGUACUUGGGGCACCUACACA
Molecule: long non-coding RNA, 255 nt
Organism: Alligator mississippiensis (American alligator)
Lineage: Eukaryota; Metazoa; Chordata; Crocodylia; Alligatoridae
Exons: 3
Source: RefSeq, a predicted model, not a curated record